Molecule: long non-coding RNA, 1882 nt
Organism: Anolis carolinensis (green anole)
Lineage: Eukaryota; Metazoa; Chordata; Lepidosauria; Squamata; Anolidae
Exons: 4
Source: RefSeq, a predicted model, not a curated record
CUCUGAACAAAUUAAGACAAGAAAACCUCAUCAUAGGUUUGACUUAGGGUUGCCAAAGUUGUACAUGAUUUGAAGACUGAUAAAAACAACAGCAAGCAUGCAUGUUACAAUAAUAAUAAUAAUCAUCCACUCUUUUUACCUACUCUUGAGUCACAAAAGGCAUCCAGGGCAUCAAGAAAAUUAAUAAGACAAUCCUUGCCUUCAGGUUUACAAACAACAAUAUACAACAGGAAAAAGAAAAGGGAGGAAUGAAGAGUGAAGAAGUAAGACACAGUGCAAAUGAUUUUUUAAAGAAAAUUUUAUUCAAAAAAUGAAGUUUCCAGUUUCCAAUGGGCUGAAAAGAAAAUAAGAGUGAACAAUAAAGACCUUCUUCCAAAUCGUGACUCUGUAAUAUCAACAUGGCUGGUGCAGAUAGCUGUACAGAAGAUUGCAACUGAAUCAGUACAGGCCUCCCCAGCUUAAAGAAAUGAGAAGGGGAAUGAGAUGCUAUUUUUGGUUAUUUUAUCUGAGCAAGCUAGAGAUUUCUGAAGAAGUGCUACAAAUGUCAUCACAAAAUUGUAUUAGGAAAGGACAAAGGAAUGAGACUUGACUGCUUCCUUCAAAAUAGCAGCAAAAUAGAUGAUGGUGGAUUAAAAGAGGGGAAAAAUUCCCCAUCAGGAAAUGUUCAUCAUUUUACCUUUAGAACAAAUAAUUCCAUGAAACACUGAUCAUUUGAACUUACAGAAGUGGUUGAAUAAAAUGUGUCACCUUAUGCAAUUUAUCUGCUUGAGAACACUGGAGACUAAUCAGAUGCUGCUUUGAGGAGCGUUGAAACAAAUGUGAGAAAACCAAUUUGACUUCAGAAAUGUCAGAUUCAAGUACUCUGCUGUGAAGCUUCAGGAACUCAAAUGUUUCUGCCAUUGCAAAUUCCCCUACCCAGUACUUGCAUUAUAUUUCAAAAAAGUAUUUUCCUUCCCUGAAAACAGCACUUCACUUCUGUAAAUCGAGAAAUGCAUAUGAAAUCUAUGAGGCAUGACCUCAGAAGAAAUUUAAUCAACUGCAAAAUACUAAAAGCUAAUUAAACUAAAUCUUUACUCUUGGAUAAAUGGCUUUGUGGUUGAAAUUUCCGUUCCUUUUACUUUGCAUAGAUUGAUAGUGGUAAUUUUGCUUGAAAGAAACAAAGUCACAGAUUAAAAUUUGUUUCACAUGAAAGUCCAUACAAAAUGGACGAGACAUGACUGUUUCUGAGAAAAGCCAAAGCUGUUCCUAAUCUUCCAUGAAAUGUUUUGGGAUGUCAGGCUAACAAUACAGACAUCAGAUAUGUCUGGGCGGAGCUUAGUAUAGUUGAUGGAUCAAAUCUAAAACCAACCUUAGUCCUUUCGUUAGUUUGUUUGUUUUGGUCCUAUUAGGUAACAUACCAAGGGAGUGAACCUAAAUCACAGAGUUUACCAUUCUUCCAACAUACUUCUACAUAGUGACUUCUUCACCCUCCUUCUCUCAGGAGCAGCUUCCAAGGCAGUUGAGAGAAGUUCUGCAGCUGAGAGAAGAGGUUAGAUGUUGCCCUUGCAGCACAAGUUUGUUCUCUAAAUGUCUGGGACAGUUUCUUCAGGUUGAAGAAAUGCAUUCAGACACAGCUUGGAUACUGCCCUCCCUACCUGAACAGUUUGUGUAAGGCAGUGAUUCUCAACCUGUGGGUCACCAGGUGUUUUGGCUUACAACUCCCAGAAAUCCAAGCCAGUUUACCAGCUGUUAGGAUUUCUGGGAAUUGAAGGACAAAAACAUCUGGGAACCUCAGGUUGAGAACCACUGGAGUAAGGCAAAUAACUGAGAACCACUGGACUGCAUGGCAAAUAACUGGUUUCUUUCUUCAGCCAUGCCUCUAAAAUGGCAUAAAUGGGUAUCA